RNAcentral lists this non-coding RNA (28 nucleotides) under Rattus norvegicus (Norway rat). Lineage: Eukaryota; Metazoa; Chordata; Mammalia; Rodentia; Muridae. The record is from RNAcentral.
UGGGCUGAGUUUUAAAAGAUUAGUGGGA